GUGAAUCAUCGAAUUUUUGAACGCAAAUUGCACUCUCUGGUAUUCCGGAGAGUAUGCCUGUUUGAGGGUAUGAUUAAAUAAAAAUUGGUGGGGUUGCUGCCUUUCGUGGUGACGCACCGGAUGUGGUUAGUCCUGUUUUUGGUUAAGUGACAUAAAAUUUUGUAUGAUUUUUUUCGGACGUAUUUAAAUGUUUUUAUGUACGUUUGCGAUAUCGAUUUCUAGGUGUGGUUAUCCUCAUGAUUCGCGCCUAUAAUUUUUUUUCAAAAUGACCUCAAAUCAGGUAAGAGUACCCGCUGAAUUU
RNAcentral lists this unclassified non-coding RNA (301 nucleotides) under Glomus sp. RNAcentral describes it as "partial contains 5.8S ribosomal RNA, internal transcribed spacer 2, and large subunit ribosomal RNA". The stretch from base 1 to 71 matches the Rfam family "5.8S ribosomal RNA", at positions 84 to 154 of the family's 154-position model. The record is from RNAcentral. Lineage: Eukaryota; Fungi; Glomeromycota; Glomeromycetes; Glomerales; Glomeraceae.